GUGUCAGCAGCCGCGGUAAUACGGAGGGUGCGAGCGUUAAUCGGAAUUACUGGGCGUAAAGCGCAUGCAGGUGGUUUGUUAAGUCAGAUGUGAAAGCCCGGGGCUCAACCUCGGAAUUGCAUUUGAAACUGGCAGGCUAGAGUACUGUAGAGGGGGGUCGAAUUUCAGGUGUAGCGGUGAAAUGCGUAGAGAUCUGAAGGAAUACCGGUGGCGAAGGCGGCCCCCUGGACAGAUACUGACACUCAGAUGCGAAAGCGUGGGGAGCAAACAGGAUUAGAAACCCCCGUAGUCC
Molecule: ribosomal RNA, 292 nt
Filed under: uncultured prokaryote
Description: partial 16S ribosomal RNA
Rfam family: Bacterial small subunit ribosomal RNA
Source: RNAcentral